GAGAAGUAACUGCACGAAUGGAAAACAUAAUAACGAUGUUAUAAAAUUUUAUAAUGUUUACUGGAUUCUAGAGAUCAAGGGAGAGGAGGGGUAUAAAACGAGGAGAACUGGAGUUGUCUGGAGGAUCCCAAACCCCCUCAUUCCUUCAUUCUUACAUUCACUACUUUUUUUCCAUUUCUUCUCUAGGUUGUUUUGUAAACAAUAGCAAAAUGAUAAGGGGAACAGUCUGUAUAUGGGUGGAAAUGAACGUUUUGGUUCGAGAAAUGGAGAUUUUGGAAAACUGCUAAUAGCGAAGGAGAAGGAUCCAGCGACAAAGGAGAAACUAAGUAGGGGAAUGUGAUAUUGGCUUCCAGGAAUGUUUCUUGGUGAGUUCCUUAACUCAAACCUUUAGUUUUUGUUUUGCAUGUUCAGUAUGGUGGUUGGACUGUGGUUUCUUGGAAAAAUUAUGUUGCAUGUUCGACUAAAGUCAAGAUGUGGCUCUGUUGUGAGAUAUUUCCUGUAUGAUGAUAUGUGUUAAGUGUUAGUAUGUAUAUGCAUGCCUGGUUGCGGGCAUAAGCUUGUGGUAUUGAUGAGAUGUUUACUGGUUAAAUUGUUAUUGGUUAUGUUGUUUUGUUGAACGGUCCAUUGAUUGUAAUGUGUAUUAGAGAUUGUGGUGAAAUGUUUAGUAUGCUCUGUUUUGUGCUAGUAAUUUGUAUGUUUAGCUGAGUGUGGGAAUCAUUAAAUGUUUGCUAUAUGUUAUUUUAGUGAAAAUGAAUUAUGUGCGGAGUAGGGAGGGAUGUAACGAUGGAUGAAGGAAUAAGGAGAUGUCAUGUUAUGCUGUAACAACUCGUUUUCAGUGAAAUCGGAAUAGUGGUUUCGGGACCACAAAUCCGAGGUCAGAAGAAAAUUUAUUUUUAAUAUUAUUUUCUGGUCUAUAAUAUAAUAAGAUUUUUGUGUGAAAAUUUCGUUAAGAAAUUUCACCAAUUACAUGUCUAAUUUGUUAAAAAAGACUAGAUUGAAAAACAUGCAAAACUUGUUAGUUAAAAUGAAUAGUGAUUAAAUAGUUCAAAUAGUAAAUAAGGAAGGAUUUUAGGCAUAAAUAUGCCUAAAGUGAUUGGCUGAGGCGGCAUAGGCUUAAAAAAGAUGACAAAAAUGGUGUGAAGUAAGGGAAAAAUUGGAAAUUUUGCCAAAUUAAUGAAAUAAAUGGAAAAUUAAAGAAUUCUAGACAAUUCAUCAUCAUUUUCAGUUCUAAAACCAGCCAUGGAAGAGGGUUUAAGCUGGUUUUUCAAUUAUUUCUUCAUGUAAGUCAAAUCCUCACCCGUUUUCUGAAAAUUUUAUGUUUUUGUGAUUGUUACAAUUAGGUCCAAGUAACAUUUACCUUGGUUUUUGAUUUUAUUGAAAAUUUUGGAAGUUAACAUUGAUGAGUUUAUAUGAUUUUAGUUAUUAGAUGAUGAAUUUGAAGUGUUAAUGGUUAUUUAAAAGUGUUUUAUUAAAGAAUUUUGAAGAAAACAUUAUUCAGGGAUUAAAUUGAAAAGAUGUUAAAUUCAUGGAAAAUUAUAAAUUUUAUGGAAUUCAUGGGAUUUCUAUUAUUAUGUUUGAAAUUUCUAGGCUUGGAAUGAAGAUUAAAUUGUAUGAAUUUCAUUUUUCCGAGCCUAGGGACGAAAUUAGAAUUAAUCAAAAGUAUAGGAGCAAAAUGGUACUUUUGCCUAAAAUGUGAAUUUGAGUGAAUUGGAUAUGAAUUUCAUUUAAUUGAGUUAAAUUUACUCGUAUCGAUCCGGAUAGACCUAGUACGGAAUUGGAUCGAGGAAAAUAAAAAAUAUCGGAUUAGUAGACUCUCGUAAACGAACAAGUGUCAAGGUAAGUUCGUGUAACUAAAUUAUGUAUGUUUACAUGUUUUAUUUGAAUGUUGUAUAUAUGAAUUAUGAAUUUCUUAUGUUAUUGAAGACAAUUAUUGAUUCCACAAAGCCCGAUGCGUGAUAAGUCCUAUAUGAAUAAUGAAAUUCGAAAGAUACUGGAUUUCUCAAAUUGGUUGUAGUCAUGCAUAUGUUGUGGACACACCAUAGCUCUUACGAGCAUCUUGUUAUUAGCCCUCUCGAGCUUCUUGUUAUAUAGUUUUGCGAGCACCCUGAUCGGUAGUAAUUCUGCAUAUGUUGUGGACUACCGCAGCUCCUUGUGAGCGUCCUGUUUGUGAUCAGUUGUGAUCCUAUAUAUGUUACGGACACAAAUGCAGCUCUUUGUGAGCGUCCUAAUAUAGCUCGCUUGAACUUCCUUAUAUAUGGCUAUCCGGAGCUCCCGUUACACGGCUCUUAGUAAGCUUCCCGAUAGGCUCUUCGUGAGCUUCUUGAUUAAAUGUUCUUUGUGAACUUCCUGAUUAUGGCUCUUAUGAGCUUCCUAAUAUAGCCUAGAAAAGUUUCCUAUUAUAUAACUCAUAUAAGCUUCUCGUUAUAUGGCUUAAGAGAGUGUUUCCUGUUUAAGUGUUCUUAUGAACACUCCAGAAUAUGAAUUGACGGAUUAUAGAUUACUACACUUCAUGUGUACUACCCAAUGUCCAUCGAUAUUUUAUAAAGUUCAACAGGAAAUACAUGAAACGUUUAUAUGAUGAACUCAUCUUUAUUACUUGAAAAAUGCUUAGAAAUUCAUAACUAACUUGCUUGAUUGAGUAUAUGUCAUUAGGCAUUUGGCCAAUUUGCUAGGGAUGUAUGUUAUUUAUAUGCCUACUUAAAAUGAACAUGAUUGGUAAGUUAAGUUCCUGUUAUACGAACUUACUAAGCAAUUGAUGCUUACUUGGUUUUCUUUCCUCUGUUUUAUAGUGCUCGGAAGCUCAUAAAGGUUGGAGUUCGAUCGAAGCAUCAUCACACUAUCCUCCAGCUCGUUUUGGUAUAAAUAGAAAAUUUAUUUUGGUAUAAUGGCAUGUAUAGGUUAAUGUUGACAAAUGAGGGUAUGUAAUGUUUUAGUUGUAUUUAGCCAUUGGAAUGGCUAGUGAUAGUAUGUUUAAUGUAUAUAUACAUGAGGUUAUAUUAUGUUUGGUAUGUGAGUAUGAUUAAAAAGGUAAGAUCAAUACUUGAAGGUAUGAACAAACAUGACAUGCAUAAAACUUAAUUAUUAGCUUGAUUUAUAUGCCUUGAAUUGGUUGGUGAAUAUGUUGAAAUUUCAAUGUAGG
Molecule: long non-coding RNA, 3139 nt
Filed under: Gossypium barbadense (sea-island cotton)
Lineage: Eukaryota; Viridiplantae; Streptophyta; Magnoliopsida; Malvales; Malvaceae
Description: long non-coding RNA (GBAR_LNC016842)
Source: RNAcentral